Eptesicus fuscus (big brown bat) is the source of this 472-nucleotide long non-coding RNA. RefSeq lists it as uncharacterized. NCBI's taxonomy places the organism in Eukaryota, Metazoa, Chordata, Mammalia, Chiroptera, Vespertilionidae. The transcript has 3 exons. The record is from RefSeq and is a predicted model, not a curated record.
GCGAAAGCGCCUGGGAGACGUAGUUCCCCGCGUUUAAAGGUCCGCCAGCUCCCGCAGCCAGUACUAAAUUUAGAAUUUAGCUUCUACUCUUCUUCGGAAAUGGAAGAUGUAGGUCCCUUUGUGGUUCAGUCUUGCUUGUCCAGCAACCUGCACAGGUUGGGCCACCAGAGCUCUUCAGGAAAGGAGAAUUGCACCAUACCUCACCUUGGCUCAUUUACUUGCUUUUUAACACCCUACCAUUGUGCCUCUUCUACAAGGAUCAUGCCAGGACAGCCAGGAGAGAAAACUUUCAUCAUUAUCCACAGAGACUUCUGGGAAAGGCAUGAAGUCUAGAAUGAGUCACAAAAUGUUUUAUUAGACCAUAAUCCCUGUACAAAGGCUGCUAAUUUGCAGUGUGUGCCUUAAUUGAGAGGGCCACUCCAAUGACCCUUCAAAGAGCAGCUUCUUUCAAUAAAAAGAAACUAUGCUCUAC